Molecule: ribosomal RNA, 319 nt
Filed under: uncultured eukaryote
Lineage: Eukaryota
Description: partial 18S ribosomal RNA
Rfam family: Eukaryotic small subunit ribosomal RNA
Source: RNAcentral
CCCUUAGAUGGUCUGGGCGGCACGCGCGCUACAAUGAUGCAUUGAAAAAGUCUUCUGACCUUAGAAGGUUGGGUAUUCUCCAAAGUGUAUCGUGAUGGGAAUAGUUUAUUGCAAUUUUUAAUCUUGAACGAGGAAUUCCUAUUAAGUACAGGUCAUCAACUUGUGUUGAUUACGUCCCUGCCCUUUGUACACACCGCCCGUCGCUCCUACUGAUUGAGUGUCUCGGUGAAUUCUUUGAUCUUCUGUCGAUUCAGUUCACUGAUCCGACGGUGGAAAGUUGAAUGAACUUCGUCACUUAGAGGAAGGAGAAGUCGUAACA